GAUGAACGCUGGCGGUAUGCUUAACACAUGCAAGUCGAACGGUCACUUCGGUGAUAGUGGCGGACGGGUGAGUAACGCGUGAGAAUCUGUCUUCAGGUCGGGGACAACAGUUAGAAAUGACUGCUAAUACCGGAUGUGCCUUUGGGUGAAAGAUUUAUUGCCUGAAAAAGAGCUCGCGUCAGAUUAGCUAGUAGGUGGUGUAAGAGACUACCUAGGCUCCGAUCUGUAGCUGGUCUGAGAGGACGAUCAGCCACACUGGAACCGAGACACGGUCCAGACUCCUACGGGAGGCAGCAGUGGGGAAUUUUCCGCAAUGGGCGAAAGCCUGACGGAGCAAUACCGCGUGAGGGACGAAGGCUUUUGGGUCGUAAACCUCUUUUCUCAAGGAAGAUGAUGACGGUACUUGAGGAAUAAGCAUCGGCUAACUCUGUG
Molecule: ribosomal RNA, 432 nt
Filed under: uncultured bacterium
Lineage: Bacteria
Description: partial 16S ribosomal RNA
Rfam family: Bacterial small subunit ribosomal RNA
Source: RNAcentral